This 253-nucleotide ribosomal RNA is filed under the name uncultured bacterium. RNAcentral's name for it is "partial 16S ribosomal RNA". It matches the Rfam family "Bacterial small subunit ribosomal RNA", at positions 524 to 776 of the family's 1533-position model. The record is from RNAcentral.
UACGAAGGGGGCGAGCGUUGUUCGGAAUUACUGGGCGUAAAGGGCUCGUAGGCGGCCAACUAAGUCAGACGUGAAAUCCCUCGGCUUAACCGGGGAACUGCAUCUGAUACUGGAUGGCUUGAGUUCGGGAGAGGGAUGCGGAAUUCCAGGUGUAGCGGUGAAAUGCGUAGAUAUCAGGAGGAACACCGGUGGCGAAGGCGGAUCUCUGGGCCUUACCUGACGCUGAGGCGCGAAAGCUAGGGGAGCAAACAGG